UAAUAAUAAAUAAACACCUUGUAUAAGUUCAAGAAUAGGCUUGAACGUUUCUACCAGCUACCGUACAAUAGCUUGUCUACAAGGAAUAAAUAGA
This 94-nucleotide non-coding RNA is filed under the name Bacillus andreraoultii. RNAcentral's name for it is "Purine riboswitch". It matches the Rfam family "Purine riboswitch aptamer". From Rfam's summary of the family: Riboswitches are metabolite binding domains within certain messenger RNAs that serve as precision sensors for their corresponding targets. Allosteric rearrangement of mRNA structure is mediated by ligand binding, and this results in modulation of gene expression. A class of riboswitches that selectively recognises guanine and becomes saturated at concentrations as low as 5 nM. Lineage: Bacteria; Bacillati; Bacillota; Bacilli; Caryophanales; Bacillaceae. The record is from RNAcentral.